RNAcentral lists this ribosomal RNA (483 nucleotides) under uncultured bacterium. Its description in RNAcentral is "partial 16S ribosomal RNA". It matches the Rfam family "Bacterial small subunit ribosomal RNA", at positions 30 to 507 of the family's 1533-position model. The record is from RNAcentral.
AUUGAACGCUGGCGGCAGGCCUAACACAUGCAAGUCGAGCGGAUGAAGGGAGCUUGCUCCUGGAUUCAGCGGCGGACGGGUGAGUAAUGCCUAGGAAUCUGCCUGGUAGUGGGGGAUAACGUCCGGAAACGGGCGCUAAUACCGCAUACGUCCUGAGGGAGAAAGUGGGGGAUCUUCGGACCUCACGCUAUCAGAUGAGCCUAGGUCGGAUUAGCUAUUGGUGGGGUAAAGGCCUACCAAGGCGACGAUCCGUAACUGGUCUGAGAGGAUGAUCAGUCACACUGGAACUGAGACACGGUCCAGACUCCUACGGGAGGCAGCAGUGGGGAAUAUUGGACAAUGGGCGAAAGCCUGAUCCAGCCAUGCCGCGUGUGUGAAGAAGGUCUUCGGAUUGUAAAGCACUUUAAGUUGGGAGGAAGGGCAGUAAGUUAAUACCUUGCUGUUUUGACGUUACCAACAGAAUAAGCACCGGCUAACUUCGUG